GGCGUUGUGGCAGAGUGGUCUAAUGCGCAAGACUAGAAUUGAUCCUAUAUCAUCCUAUCUUGUUUCUUCGGAAGCGUCUGUUCGAAUCAGGCCAACGUCG
This is a non-coding RNA of Pestalotiopsis fici W106-1, 100 nucleotides long. Lineage: Eukaryota; Fungi; Ascomycota; Sordariomycetes; Amphisphaeriales; Sporocadaceae. The record is from Rfam.